This 1376-nucleotide ribosomal RNA is filed under the name uncultured bacterium. RNAcentral's name for it is "bacterial SSU rRNA". It matches the Rfam family "Bacterial small subunit ribosomal RNA", at positions 1 to 1366 of the family's 1533-position model. The record is from RNAcentral.
GGGAAUUCGAUUAGAGUUUGAUCAUGGCUCAGAUUGAACGCUGGCGGCAUGCCUUACACAUGCAAGUCGAACGGCAGCAUGAUCUAGCUUGCUAGAUUGAUGGCGAGUGGCGAACGGGUGAGUAAUACAUCGGAACGUGCCCUGUAGUGGGGGAUAACUAGUCGAAAGAUUAGCUAAUACCGCAUACGACCUGAGGGUGAAAGUGGGGGACCGCAAGGCCUCAUGCUAUAGGAGCGGCCGAUGUCUGAUUAGCUAGUUGGUGAGGUAAAGGCUCACCAAGGCGACGAUCAGUAGCUGGUCUGAGAGGACGAUCAGCCACACUGGGACUGAGACACGGCCCAGACUCCUACGGGAGGCAGCAGUGGGGAAUUUUGGACAAUGGGGGCAACCCUGAUCCAGCAAUGCCGCGUGUGUGAAGAAGGCCUUCGGGUUGUAAAGCACUUUUGUCCGGAAAGAAAUCGCACUUACUAAUAUUAGGUGUGGAUGACGGUACCGGAAGAAUAAGGACCGGCUAACUACGUGCCAGCAGCCGCGGUAAUACGUAGGGUCCAAGCGUUAAUCGGAAUUACUGGGCGUAAAGCGUGCGCAGGCGGUUGUGCAAGACCGAUGUGAAAUCCCCGGGCUUAACCUGGGAAUUGCAUUGGUGACUGCACGGCUAGAGUGUGUCAGAGGGGGGUAGAAUUCCACGUGUAGCAGUGAAAUGCGUAGAGAUGUGGAGGAAUACCGAUGGCGAAGGCAGCCCCCUGGGAUAACACUGACGCUCAUGCACGAAAGCGUGGGGAGCAAACAGGAUUAGAUACCCUGGUAGUCCACGCCCUAAACGAUGUCAACUAGUUGUUGGGGAUUCAUUUCCUUAGUAACGUAGCUAACGCGUGAAGUUGACCGCCUGGGGAGUACGGUCGCAAGAUUAAAACUCAAAGGAAUUGACGGGGACCCGCACAAGCGGUGGAUGAUGUGGAUUAAUUCGAUGCAACGCGAAAAACCUUACCUACCCUUGGCAUGCCACUAACGAAGCAGAGAUGCAUUAGGUGCUCGAAAGAGAAAGUGGACACAGGUGCUGCAUGGCUGUCGUCAGCUCGUGUCGUGAGAUGUUGGGUUAAGUCCCGCAACGAGCGCAACCCUUGUCUCUAGUUGCUACGAAAGGGCACUCUAGAGAGACUGCCGGUGACAAACCGGAGGAAGGUGGGGAUGACGUCAAGUCCUCAUGGCCCUUAUGGGUAGGGCUUCACACGUCAUACAAUGGUGCAUACAGAGGGUUGCCAAGCCGCGAGGUGGAGCUAAUCCCAGAAAAUGCAUCGUAGUCCGGAUCGUAGUCUGCAACUCGACUACGUGAAGCUGGAAUCGCUAGUAAUCGCGGAUCAGCAUGCCGCGGUGAA